This 497-nucleotide unclassified non-coding RNA is filed under the name Salicornia iranica. RNAcentral describes it as "partial external transcribed spacer". Lineage: Eukaryota; Viridiplantae; Streptophyta; Magnoliopsida; Caryophyllales; Amaranthaceae. The record is from RNAcentral.
UGUAGGGGUGCAUGUAGGCACGGUCCUUGUGAUGCGGUACGUGAUGGUGUGUGAGUGGUAUUUGGUUUGUGUGGUUGGCGGGCUCUUUGCUUGUGCAUUGGACCGUUCACCAACAUACCUUUUCAUUGUAUGCUGCAAGUGCACCAUUUUGCCUUGGGCGACGUGUGGUCCCUAUGUUGGAUUCCGAUUAACGGUAUUGUUGUUGUCCCUUUAAAGAGUGAUAUUCGCUCUACGUCCGUAAAAGGAGGUCGAGCGGACCAUGAAACUUGACUCGUUAUCCUCCUGUUUUGUGAAAACAAGCAUGAUAGGGUUGGAUUAUGAUCUCAAGUUGGGCCCUAGGAUACAGAAAGUUGUGUGGGAGUUGAUGUAAAAACGUCGCAAACCCAAAGCGUUGGUACGCUAAUGAUGGAUGACAUUCGAGUGUGUUGUGAUUCUUUCAUCCUAGAAAGGUUCAUGCUCGCCGAUGUCGACCAAGGAGUGCUACCUGGUUGAUCCUG